GCUCAACCGGGGAAGUGCUUCGGAAACUGGUAGACUUGAGUGCAGAAGAGGAAAGUGGAACUCCAUGUGUAGCGGUGGAAUGCGUAGAUAUAUGGAAGAACACCAGUGGCGAAGGCGGCUUUCUGGUCUGUAACUGACGCUGAGAUUCGAAAGCAUGGGUAGCAAACAGGAUUAGAUACCCUGGUAGUCCAUGCCGUAAACGAUGAGUGCUAAGUGUUGGAGGGUUUCCGCCCUUCAGUGCUGCAGCUAACGCAUUAAGCACUCCGCCUGGGGAGUACGAUCGCAAGAUUGAAACUCAAAGGAAUUGACGGGGGCCCGCACAAGCGGUGGAGCAUGUGGUUUAAUUUUAAGCAACGCGAAAACCUUACCAGGUCUUGACAUACCAUGAAAAGCUAAGAGAUUAGUCUUUCCCUUCGGGGACAUGGAUACAGGUGGUGCAUGGUUGUCGUCAGCUCGUGUCGUGAGAUGUUGGGUUAAGUCCCGCAACGAGCGCAACCCUUAUUAUCAGUUGCCAGCAUUCAGUUGGGCACUCUGGUGAGACUGCCGGUGAUAAACCGGAGGAAGGUGGGGACGACGUCCAAUCAUCAUGCCCCUUAUGACCUGGGCUACACACGUGCUACAAUGGUCGGUACAACG
Molecule: ribosomal RNA, 636 nt
Filed under: uncultured bacterium
Lineage: Bacteria
Description: bacterial SSU rRNA
Rfam family: Bacterial small subunit ribosomal RNA
Source: RNAcentral